CGCAUCUGUGCAUGCAGUAUAUCAAUAAGCGGAGGAAAAGAAACUAACAAGGAUUCCCCUAGUAACGGCGAGUGAAGCGGGAAGAGCUCAAAUUUGAAAUCUUAAAGGGUUUCCCUUUACGAAUUGUAGUUUAAAGAAGUGUUUUCUGUUGAGGUUUUGGUAAAAGUUCUUUGGAAUAGGACAUCAUAGAGGGUGAGAAUCCCGUAUUUGACCUUUACUUUCAACUUUGUGAUACACUUUCAAAGAGUCGGAUUGUUUGGGAAUGCAGUCCAAAAUGGGUGGUAAAUUUCAUCUAAAGCUAAAUAUUGGCGAGAGACCGAUAGCGAACAAGUACCGUGAGGGAAAGAUGAAAAGAACUUUGAAAAGAGAGUUAAACAGUACGUGAAAUUGUCAAAAGGGAAGCGUCUGACACCAGUGUUGUUUUUCUGAAAAUCAAUUAAAGAACUGUUUAUGCUAAGCUGUUUAGACUUUAUCAGCUAUCUGUUUAGUUUUGAGCUUUUCUUUAAUGCACUUUUCAGUUAACAAGUCAACAUCAAUUUCUUUUGCUGUAAAAAAGCUUGAGGAAGGUGGCUUGAGAUUCGUCUUAAGUGUUUAUAGCCUCUUGCCUAUGCAGUCGGAGAGAUUGAGGUCUGCAGCGUAGAUCCUUCGGGGCUAAAUGCAUUUGUGCUAAGUUAUAGCAUUUUAUAGACAACUUGUUGACUAUGAUUUGUCUUGUAGCUUACUCGCUUAUGUUAUUUUACCUACGCUUAGGAUGUUGAAUCUGUGCGAGACUAC
This 774-nucleotide ribosomal RNA is filed under the name uncultured Neocallimastigales. RNAcentral describes it as "partial large subunit ribosomal RNA". It matches the Rfam family "Eukaryotic large subunit ribosomal RNA", at positions 26 to 648 of the family's 3401-position model. The record is from RNAcentral. Lineage: Eukaryota; Fungi; Neocallimastigomycota; Neocallimastigomycetes; Neocallimastigales.